Molecule: ribosomal RNA, 513 nt
Filed under: uncultured bacterium
Lineage: Bacteria
Description: partial 16S ribosomal RNA
Rfam family: Bacterial small subunit ribosomal RNA
Source: RNAcentral
GACGAACGCUGGCGGCGUGCCUAAUACAUGCAAGUAGAACGCUGACUACUUUAGCUUGCUAGAGUAGAAGGAGUUGCGAACGGGUGAGUAACGCGUAGGUAACCUGCCUACUAGCGGGGGAUAACUAUUGGAAACGAUAGCUAAUACCGCAUAACAGUGUUUAACACAUGUUAGAUGCUUGAAAGAUGCAAUUGCAUCACUAGUAGAUGGACCUGCGUAGUAUUAGCUAGUUGGUGGGGUAAAGGCCCACCAAGGCGACGAUACAUAGCCGACCGGAGAGUGAGAGCGGACAAACUGGGACGGAGAAACUGCACAGACUCCUACGGGAGGUAGAAGUAGGGAAUCUUCGGCAAUGGGGGCAACCCUGACCGAGCAACGCCGCGUGAGUGAAGAAGGUUUUCGGAUCGUAAAGCUCUGUUGUAAGAGAAGAACGUGUGUGAGAGUGGAAGGUUCACACAGUGACGGUAACUUACCAGAAAGGGACGGCUAACUACGUGCCAGCAGCCGCAGUAA